UCUUUUCCAACUCUAAUAGUCUAUGAUUCUAUGAUAAAGAAAUGUUGCAUAUUCAUUAGACAGAUUGCGUGUUCAGGAGUUGAAAAGGUCACCUAAACCAAUCCUAAAAUCAUGGAGUCAAUAAGAGUGACAGCAACCAACCAGAAUCUAAAACAAGCAUAAAAGAGGUUUGUUUUCCUAUAAUUUCAGAAAAAUAAGAAGGUAUAAAAGACUCUGAAAUAAACACCUCAUGCUCAGACACUCCCAGUAAUCAUGGAGAAAGCACGCCCUAACUCAUCCUGUCCAUCUCUACAAGCAAGCUGCCACAGACAGAUCAGAAAAGACUCAAGAAGAAACAACCCAAAGUAACCUCUCCACGACUUCAACAUGGAUCGGUUUCCAGGUCAAGAUAGGGGUGCACAUCUUGGGGGGCUGUAUGUCAUUCAAAGCUGGUAGAGCAUCUGCACGCAAUGGAACUGCUUUAACAGAAGGCUCAAGCCCACGCUUCUGAGGUCAGAAUGGAGCCCUAACUCUCUACCCCAAAGUUGGAUGCCGAAGAAAGAUGGAAACAUUCAGGUUUACUCUUGGUCUGACGCUUUCAUGGGGCCCUUGUUUUCUCAUUAACCUGGAAACAAUUGAACUUUGGAACUCAAACACCAGC
Dermochelys coriacea (leatherback sea turtle) is the source of this 640-nucleotide long non-coding RNA. RefSeq lists it as uncharacterized. The transcript has 3 exons. The record is from RefSeq and is a predicted model, not a curated record. Lineage: Eukaryota; Metazoa; Chordata; Testudines; Dermochelyidae.